Molecule: long non-coding RNA, 155 nt
Organism: Anopheles funestus (African malaria mosquito)
Lineage: Eukaryota; Metazoa; Arthropoda; Insecta; Diptera; Culicidae
Exons: 2
Source: RefSeq, a predicted model, not a curated record
GUAAUUUGUCCAAUACACAAAUUCUUUCUGUUCAAUGAUUACAGGGGAAAAUAGGGAGAAUAGGUCACAACGAAAAUAAACGCCAUUUCCCGACUUUGUUAUGAGGUUGAUACCUCUGAAAAAACCAUGAUCACUUUCCAAAUAUUCCCGAGAUA